UGGGGAAUAUUGCACAAUGGGCGCAAGCCUGAUGCAGCCAUGCCGCGUGUGUGAAGAAGGCCUUCGGGUUGUAAAGCACUUUCAGCGGGGAGGAAGGCGGUGAGGUUAAUAACCUCAUCGAUUGACGUUACCCGCAGAAGAAGCACCGGCUAACUCCGUGCCAGCAGCCGCGGUAAUACGGAGGGUGCAAGCGUUAAUCGGAAUUACUGGGCGUAAAGCGCACGCAGGCGGUUUGUUAAGUCAGAUGUGAAAUCCCCGGGCUCAACCUGGGAACUGCAUCUGAUACUGGCAAGCUUGAGUCUCGUAGAGGGGGGUAGAAUUCCAGGUGUAGCGGUGAAAUGCGUAGAGAUCUGGAGGAAUACCGGUGGCGAAGGCGGCCCCCUGGACGAAGACUGACGCUCAGGUGCGAAAGCGUGGGGAGCAAACAGG
RNAcentral lists this ribosomal RNA (429 nucleotides) under Chloroflexota bacterium. RNAcentral describes it as "Chloroflexi bacterium partial 16S ribosomal RNA". It matches the Rfam family "Bacterial small subunit ribosomal RNA", at positions 355 to 776 of the family's 1533-position model. The record is from RNAcentral. Lineage: Bacteria; Bacillati; Chloroflexota.